RNAcentral lists this transfer RNA (74 nucleotides) under Bordetella sp. RNAcentral's name for it is "tRNA-Cys". It matches the Rfam family "tRNA". Rfam says of the family: Transfer RNA (tRNA) molecules are approximately 80 nucleotides in length. Their secondary structure includes four short double-helical elements and three loops (D, anti-codon, and T loops). Further hydrogen bonds mediate the characteristic L-shaped molecular structure. tRNAs have two regions of fundamental functional importance: the anti-codon, which is responsible for specific mRNA codon recognition, and the 3' end, to which the tRNAs corresponding amino acid is attached (by aminoacyl-tRNA synthetases). tRNAs cope with the degeneracy of the genetic code in two manners: having more than one tRNA (with a specific anti-codon) for a particular amino acid; and 'wobble' base-pairing, i.e. permitting non-standard base-pairing at the 3rd anti-codon position. The record is from RNAcentral. RNAcentral also lists the same sequence under 2 other names. Lineage: Bacteria; Pseudomonadati; Pseudomonadota; Betaproteobacteria; Burkholderiales; Alcaligenaceae.
GGCGGGAUGGCAGAGUGGUUAUGCAGCGGCCUGCAAAGCCGUCCACCUCGGUUCGAUUCCGGGUCCCGCCUCCA